CACUUUACAAUAACCAGAGAACAUUGUGAACCAAAAGACAACACCCCUCAACGACAUCCUUUUAGACAAUUCAAACGCCACAAACAAGCCUACUGAAAGUUAGCACCAAUUUCAAUCCUUCAAGUUCAUAAGAAAAAGAGACAAAGCUAUAAGUACAAAUGGCCGAACACUCUUUUUAAGAAUUAAUACCAGUUUUAAACAUGGCCACCAACAAAUGAAUAUAAUAGUUCUAUCUCAAUUUUUGCAUCAAACGAGUUGGUGAAUUAGCUUAAACGAUCAAAAUAAUUUUAAUUAAGAGUAGAGAUUCCUCCUCAACAUAUCUCAAGCAACAAGAAUUCACACAAAUCUUCACAUUGACCCAUAAUUAUAAGAAAUACACGAAAUGAAACAAAGGACGAAGAAUAGGAACCUUCGAACCUCGACGAAUUCAGAAUGACAAACACGACCUCGAAAUACUUUUUUGUUUUUCUCGACUCCGAAUCGCAAUCGAAACUCGCCGGAAAAUUCAAACUAAACCAGAAAACGGACCCAGCGAACUCCAUGGCAGUAGCUCAUGAUUUUGGAGUUGUUUCGGGCUGUUUCGCGUUGCUUUGAUGGCGAAAAUGGUGAGCUUACACAACUGGUUUUGAAGCUAUUUUAAUGGUUGGUUUCGCUUUUAAGGGUGAGGGAUUUGAAAGGUGGAGAAGAUGAAGGGGGUCUGUUCUCGGGUCUUCAAUGGCGUUACUUCAGUCUGAAGAGGACGCAAGACAGGGAGGUUGGGGUUGUGUAGUUGGUUUGUGCUGCUGAAGAAGAUGACUAACGGGG
Molecule: long non-coding RNA, 804 nt
Filed under: Nicotiana tabacum (common tobacco)
Lineage: Eukaryota; Viridiplantae; Streptophyta; Magnoliopsida; Solanales; Solanaceae
Description: long non-coding RNA (NTAB_LNC007179)
Source: RNAcentral